RNAcentral lists this ribosomal RNA (487 nucleotides) under uncultured bacterium. RNAcentral describes it as "bacterial SSU rRNA". It matches the Rfam family "Bacterial small subunit ribosomal RNA", at positions 28 to 511 of the family's 1533-position model. The record is from RNAcentral.
GAUGAACGCUAGCGGCAGGCCUAACACAUGCAAGUCGAGGGGUAACGUGAGUGCUUGCACUUGACGACGACCGGCGCACGGGUGCGGAACGCGUAUGGAACCUACCUUUAUCAGGGAGAUAGCCCAUGGAAACGUGGAUUAAUAUCCCAUAGUAUUAUUUUAUCGCCUGAUAGAAUAAUUAAAGAAUUUCGGAUAGAGAUGGCCAUGCGUAUCAUUAGCUAGUAGGCGAGGUAACGGCUCACCUAGGCGACGAUGAUUAGGGGUCCUGAGAGGGAGAUCCCCCACACUGGUACUGAGACACGGACCAGACUCCUACGGGAGGCAGCAGUGAGGAAUAUUGGGCAAUGGAGGCAACUCUGACCCAGCCAUGCCGCGUGCAGGAAGACGGCCCUACGGGUUGUAAACUGCUUUUAUACAGGAAGAACACCACCCACGUGUGGGUGACUGACGGUACUGUAAGAAUAAGGACCGGCUAACUCCGUGCCAA